AGUGAACGCUGGCGGUAGGCCUAACACAUGCGAGUCGAACGGCAGCACAGUAAGAGCUUGCUCUUACGGGUGGCGAGUGGCGGACGGGUGAGGAAUACAUCGGAAUCUACUUUUUCGUGGGGGAUAACGUAGGGAAACUUACGCUAAUACCGCAUACGACCUACGGGUGAAAGCAGGGGAUCUUCGGACCUUGCGCGAUUGAAUGAGCCGAUGUCGGAUUAGCUAGUUGGCGGGGUAAAGGCCCACCAAGGCGACGAUCCGUAGCUGGUCUGAGAGGAUGAUCAGCCACACUGGAACUGAGACACGGUCCGGACUCCUACGGGAGGCAGCAGUGGGGAAUAUUGGACAAUGGGCGCAAGCCUGAUCCAGCCAUACCGCGUGGGUGAAGAAGGCCUUCGGGUUGUAAAGCCCUUUUGUUGGGAAAGAAAAGCAGCAGGUUAAUACCCCGCUGUUCUGACGGUACCCAAAGAAUAAGCACCGGCUAACUUCGUG
RNAcentral lists this ribosomal RNA (492 nucleotides) under uncultured bacterium. RNAcentral's name for it is "partial 16S ribosomal RNA". It matches the Rfam family "Bacterial small subunit ribosomal RNA", at positions 29 to 507 of the family's 1533-position model. The record is from RNAcentral.